GAUGAACGCUGGCGGCGUGCCUAAUACAUGCAAGUCGAGCGAACGGAUGAGAAGCUUGCUUCUCUGAUGUUAGCGGCGGACGGGUGAGUAACACGUGGAUAACCUACCUAUAAGACUGGGAUAACUUCGGGAAACCGGAGCUAAUACCGGAUAAUAUUUUGAACCGCAUGGUUCAAAAGUGAAAGACGGUCUUGCUGUCACUUAUAGAUGGAUCCGCGCUGCAUUAGCUAGUUGGUAAGGUAACGGCUUACCAAGGCAACGAUGCAUAGCCGACCUGAGAGGGUAAUCGGCCACACUGGAACUGAGACACGGUCCAGACUCCUACGGGAGGCAGCAGUAGGGAAUCUUCCGCAAUGGGCGAAAGCCUGACGGAGCAACGCCGCGUGAGUGAUGAAGGUCUUCGGAUCGUAAAACUCUGUUAUUAGGGAAGAACAUAUGUGUAAGUAACUGUGCACAUCUUGACGGUACCUAAUCAGAAAGCCACGGCUAACUACGUG
Molecule: ribosomal RNA, 497 nt
Filed under: uncultured bacterium
Lineage: Bacteria
Description: partial 16S ribosomal RNA
Rfam family: Bacterial small subunit ribosomal RNA
Source: RNAcentral